Molecule: non-coding RNA, 73 nt
Organism: Rattus norvegicus (Norway rat)
Lineage: Eukaryota; Metazoa; Chordata; Mammalia; Rodentia; Muridae
Source: Rfam
GGAGAGAUGGCUCAGUGGUUAAGAGCACUGGCUGCUCUUCCAGAGGUCCUGAGUUCAAUUCCCAGCAACCUCA